CGAACGCGUGGCGGCAUGCCUAACACAUGCAAGUCGAACGGAAUAGGUUUGGUGUAGCGAUACUUCGGACCUAUUAGUGGCGAACGGGUGAGUAACACGUGAGCAACCCGCCUUCUACACAGGGAUAACAGCCGGAAACGGCUGCUAAUACCGGAUAAGACCACACCGAGGCAUCUCGAAGGGGUCAAAGCGCUUUAGCGGUAGAAGAUGGGCUCGCGUCCCAUUAGCUAGUUGGUGAGAUAACAGCCCACCAAGGUAACGAUGCGUAGCCGAACUGAGAGGUUGAUCGGCCACACUGGGACUGAGACACGGCCCAGACUCCUACGGGAAGACAGCAGUUAGGAAUAUUCGUCAAUGGGGGAAACCCUGAACGAGCAAUGCCGCGUGAGUGAUGAAGGUCCUUUGGAUUGUAAAACUCUGUUGUAUGGAAAAAACGACCAGGUUAGGAAAUGAACUUGGAGUGAUGGUACCAUACCAGAAAGCCCGGCUAACUACGUGCCAGCCGCUGC
This 509-nucleotide ribosomal RNA is filed under the name uncultured bacterium. Its description in RNAcentral is "bacterial SSU rRNA". It matches the Rfam family "Bacterial small subunit ribosomal RNA", at positions 37 to 518 of the family's 1533-position model. The record is from RNAcentral.